This is a long non-coding RNA of Gossypium arboreum, 478 nucleotides long. RefSeq lists it as uncharacterized. The transcript has 2 exons. The record is from RefSeq and is a predicted model, not a curated record. Lineage: Eukaryota; Viridiplantae; Streptophyta; Magnoliopsida; Malvales; Malvaceae.
AUGAAAAUGUAAUUAUUACAACUACUGAUGAAGGCAAGAACUAUUGAAGUCUAGAUAUGUGCUUUGGUGUUAGGUGCAACAACUAUUCUGCCAUGACAUCCUGUCUUGAAAUAAUAUAGUCAAGUAGCCUAACUAUGCACUCGUGAUUCAUGAAAAAAGAGAUCCAAGGUUCAUAUUUUGUGUGAAAAAUGGCAGUUCUGCCUUUAUGUGUACUGCUCCCCAAAUUACUGGACAGCAAUAGGCUUGCUAGGUGUUUUGCAUGAUCCAGGAAUGAGCUCUCUGCAGUUGCACUUCACUUCAUCCCCACCACCAAAUCCUUAUAACCAUAGCACAAGCCGAAUAGAUGUGCAAAUAUUCAGUGAUGUUUCUAUCCAUUACCUUUCUAAAUUACUUGUAUUACAACUAAACGAUCAUUUUAAAUGAUGAGAAAUAAAUUCAUUUUUAUCAUUACUAAUUUUAUUAUCGGGUGUUCAAAAUA